RNAcentral lists this long non-coding RNA (269 nucleotides) under Linum usitatissimum (flax). Its description in RNAcentral is "long non-coding RNA (LUSI_LNC006714)". The record is from RNAcentral. Lineage: Eukaryota; Viridiplantae; Streptophyta; Magnoliopsida; Malpighiales; Linaceae.
UAUUGUCAUAUUCUAUUGUUAGUCAAGAAGUCUUAGAGUUGAGUAACAUAUACAAUUCGAGGUGAAUAUUUUGGCACUCACGUCCAUUUAUAUUGCAUAAUUUUUUAUUUUUUGUUUUAUUUUUAAUGGAUAAAAAACUUUUCAUAGUGGACAAUCCGUGACUGGCUUAGCUCCAAAUUCAAUGGAUUCACAACCUAAUAAAAUCCGGAUUUGAUGAAAUAUAAUAUGAGCUCGAUGAAUUCGUGACCUAAUGAACAUGUGACCCGAUG